Long non-coding RNA from Venturia canescens, 607 nucleotides. RefSeq lists it as uncharacterized. The transcript is spliced from 3 exons. NCBI's taxonomy places the organism in Eukaryota, Metazoa, Arthropoda, Insecta, Hymenoptera, Ichneumonidae. The record is from RefSeq and is a predicted model, not a curated record.
AAAUAUCUCGUAUUGUAUAGAGAUAAAAGCGUGGUGCUAGAAACGUAGCACUCCUUCGCGGAAAUAUAUCGAACGAGCCUCUGCGGAAUGUGCGCUGCGCGUGUAUCGUUAUCAUAAACUCACCGCGAGGACUACUAUUUCACGUAUAUCGAGCAUCGAUUCAACCUCGUGAGAGCUCUCCGGAGCACUGAGAAAGCGAACUUUGCACACCGUUGGCUAAAAAGAAGUAUCGCCAUUUAGCCAACUCUCCGUUGAACGCGGCAACGAGAGUUACGUGUUGUUGCUAAACUUCCGGAUGACAAACACACUUUUUGACAUCCACCCCGGCCAACUUUGUACAACGAGAAAAAAUAUCUACCCGGAACUUUGUAAUGUCGGGGAAUGUCGGUGCGAAAACAAGAGCUUGGGCACAAAAGAGCUCCCGCAUAUGGUCCAGGGAUAACAGACUAAUCGAUGCUUGCUGCGGCACUUGUGCUGUCAAUCGUCGCGGAGUCUUUUUUUGAGACGCCAUUUUAUGACCUCUGCUUAAUAAAAUGUACUAAAAAUUAAAAAAAAAAUGUUUGUAUACUUCAUUACUUCAAUAAUUGAUAUACAAAACUACAAAUAA